AGAGGGAGCGAUUGUGAGGCAAACACAGCAAGACCAGGGUUAUCGUGUGGAUCGCACACAGAAAGAGCGCGCUAACGGGCGAGACACGUUUUAAGUGAAUCCGCAAAAUAGAUUUUUGCAUAAUCUUUUUAUCGUAAUUCAGGAAUAAGCACCAGGCUCUUUGAUCUGACUUGGAGACAACAAUGAUGCUUUUAACAGGACGGAAAUGGAAAAGGUCUCCAUUUUUGUCUUGUUUUUUUUUAAUUCAGGAUUUGUAUUCAUUUCAUGGGAUACUUUCCAAGCCUGUAUGCUGAUUGCCAAAAACGGUUUGUCUUGUUUAAGUCUCCAUUUUGAUUGCCCAUCAUUUUGGUGGAUGGACGCCGCAGCCUCGGACACACUGGGCAAAGGUUGGACAUCCAAGAGCAAGGAUGCACCAUUCUGAAGAAUGGAACAUAGUUGAUUGCAGCUUUACCAACGAGAGCUUCUGAGCCAGGCCACCAGGUCCAGGAAUUCCACAGGCAGGCUUGAAACAAUCCAUCCAUUUUAAUGCUCUUUAUUUCCGGACCGUGGGGCAAAGCUGGAGAAAAACCCAACAUCAGGCAAACUUGCAACAGAAAGACCAAAAUGAUGUGCUUCUUGAUGUGAGGUAAGAGCAUGACUGGGGAACCAGGCAGCCAGCAGCAGAGCAGUAGAGCGCCAUUUCCCCGCCAUAGGCCACAGACUCAUCUUCUCCUCGCUCCUCCCACUGCUCCACAACCCCCCCCCCCCCCCCCCGCACCCCCACCUCACGAUCCAGAGCUGCUCGAGGACAAGAGGGAGACGCAGAUCCCAAUUGACCACCGUUGAGCUACUUUUGGAUCAUCAAAGUGUAACACAAAGGGUCACGGGUGAGCCGGAACAUAUGCCAGCUGACUUCAGGCGAAAGGCAGACGACACCAAGGACUGCACAACCACUCAUUUACAUAUUGACACUGUCAUUGGGGAAGGAAGUGAAGUCAUGCUGCCAGCACCAAACUAAGAUGAGUGGACCACUUAUACCAUUAGAUGUCCCAAUUUGCCUGCCAGGUGGGGCGAGGGAGAUCUCGGAGUACCGCUGUUCUGAGCUUGACCCCAUGCCUCAAUUACGUGUCAUUAGUGAGACUUUCAGAGAAGCUGGCCAGACUGAGACCUGACAGCCCCUUCUCGGAUAUUUAGCCAUGCAUAUGGAUGGAUUUCUGAUCCCUCUCAUCCACCACCGAGGACGAGGGAAUUAGGCCAGUGAGGAGGAGAGUAGGGGGCUUAAAGGGGAGCAUCCAUAUCCGACUUUCAUGGCAACGAUGGAGCUAUUACGCCCGCGAAGGGCCAAUGGUCAUGCUUGGCUGCCUGCUUGUUUGUCUGUUGUUCUGUUGCACAGGUGAUCAACACUACGAGAUGGGGGGGGGGGGGGGGGGGGGUCACGUUUGAUGACCUUUUUGGGUCGUGCGUGAAACUAGAUUAGACGCUGCCCUGAAGAACUGUGUUUUUAAUUCCACGCAGUCAUACAAUGUGUACUCAUGACGGCAUAUUAAAAUGUGCAUUCCUCACU
Hippocampus zosterae (dwarf seahorse) is the source of this 1543-nucleotide long non-coding RNA. RefSeq lists it as uncharacterized. The record is from RefSeq and is a predicted model, not a curated record. The transcript is spliced from 7 exons. NCBI's taxonomy places the organism in Eukaryota, Metazoa, Chordata, Actinopteri, Syngnathiformes, Syngnathidae.